This 497-nucleotide ribosomal RNA is filed under the name uncultured bacterium. RNAcentral's name for it is "partial 16S ribosomal RNA". It matches the Rfam family "Bacterial small subunit ribosomal RNA", at positions 28 to 507 of the family's 1533-position model. The record is from RNAcentral.
GAUGAACGCUGGCGGCGUGCCUAAUACAUGCAAGUCGAGCGAACAGACGAGGAGCUUGCUCCUUUGACGUUAGCGGCGGACGGGUGAGUAACACGUGGAUAACCUACCUAUAAGACUGGGAUAACUUCGGGAAACCUGAGCUAAUACCGGAUAACAUGUUGAACCGCAUGGUUCAACAGUGAAAGACGGUCUUGCUGUCACUUAUAGAUGGAUCCUCGCCGCAUUAGCUAGUUGGUAAGGUAACGGCUUACCAAGGCAACGAUGCGUAGCCGACCUGAGAGGGUGAUCGGCCACACUGGAACUGAGACACGGUCCAGACUCCUACGGGAGGCAGCAGUAGGGAAUCUUCCGCAAUGGGCGAAAGCCUGACGGAGCAACGCCGCGUGAGUGAAGAAGGUCUUCGGAUCGUAAAACUCUGUUAUUAGGGAAGAACAAAUGUGUAAGUAACUAUGCACGUCUUGACGGUACCUAAUCAGAAAGCCACGGCUAACUACGUG